Molecule: long non-coding RNA, 1595 nt
Organism: Lathyrus oleraceus (garden pea)
Lineage: Eukaryota; Viridiplantae; Streptophyta; Magnoliopsida; Fabales; Fabaceae
Exons: 3
Source: RefSeq, a predicted model, not a curated record
AAAAAUAUUGGUUCAUUCAAUUUUUCCCUUAACAUAACUCAUUUGUUCCUGCUUCAAAAUUGUAACAUCAUUCUUUAGAAUAUAUUGCAAGAUCGAUUUUUUUUCAAGUUUUGUUUAUUAAUUAGUUAGAAAAUCUUUUAAGGUUGUUGUUGUGGUUACGUCCAUGCAUUCUUUAAAGAAAUUAAUUUUACGAACCAUGAACAAAAUAUUUGUAUGCACUUGAAAUCUAUCUCACAUAAUCACAUUGUUGUUGUUGAUUCCACAUAUUCCUAAUCAUACUAAGAUAUUGUAACUCAAAAAGAAAAGAACGAAGGGUAAGAAGUUGUAAAUGAUAUUCCUUACAUUUCACUAUUUUCUUUUUGAGUCGGUAAUAUAAGUCAUCUAUUUCUCGAGUGGACCGACAAUCGAGGAGAAAAUUCCCUCAGGAACACAUACUUUGUUUUCCAGCAACAAUAACUUCUUGUUUUAUUCAUUAAAAAAUUGUGUCUUCCUUCUAUUUUUAUUGCUAAAGUAAAUCAAAUUACAUUUUCCCUCGGAUAUCCUUAUGAACCGAGGAGAAACGUAACUGAAUUUUAUCUAAAAGAGUAAUAAGUUCAUUAAUUUUUUUCCUAAUUCUAACUUUUCUCCAGAGCAACAUUUGUUGUGUCAAGUAAUGUAGUUGGUUUUUGGAGUUAUUGACCAAAUCAAAUGACCAAAUGCUGCCAAUAACAUUUGUUGUUGUUGCGAGUGAAAUCAAAGAUUCAUGGAGUUGGUUUUUGGAGCUAUUGAUAUCUGAUUUGGGAGGUGUCAAAUUAUGCAAGACUUAUAAAUUUAUAAGUGAUCAACAAAAGCACUUGAUGAGUUGCUACCAGAGGUUGACCAAAGAUUUUGUGUUAGGUACUCAUACUUGUAUAAGUCAUAUUUGAUAUGUGAUAUUUGGAUACUUGAUAUGUGAUAUGUGAUAUUUCUGUAGACAUUUAUACAACAAUUUCAGAAAGAAGUUUGCAGGUGUUAAACUAAAGGAGUUGAUGUGGAAGGUUGCUACUGCUACUCAUGUAACUGCUUGGGAAAAAAUAAUGCGUGAAAUGAGAAGUGUUAAUGAAGAGGCAUUCAAGCACCUUUGGAAGAUUCCAUCAAGGUUCUGAAGCAAAUCAAGGUUUAGAACUAGUCCAAGGUGUGAUACUUUGGUGAACAACAUGUCAGAGGCAUUCAACUCAGUAUUUGUAGCUGGAAGAGCCAAGCCUAUUGUGGCUAUGAUUGAAGAAAUAAUAGUGUAUAUGAUACAAGGGUGGGAGUCCAACAGGAAGAAGAUUUCCAAAUAUUAUGAUAACAUUCUACCAAAUAUAAAAAAGAAAUUGAAAGGAAUCACAAAGAACAAAUAAUUGGAUUGUUAGAGAUUAAAGAUGAGCCAAGAAAGAAGCAAAAUCAUGCAGUUGAUCUUCUAAUACUCUAAACAGAUCCCCAGUCCAAGUUGAAAUAGCUUUUCAAAAAUGUUGUUGAUGAACUGAAAAAAAACAGACCCUUGCCCGGGCUAUUUUCAAAAAUGUUGUUAAUUAAUAAUAUUCAAUAUCACAUUUACUACUGGUAUUCAGAAAAAUCCAAAUCUCAAACUGUAA